This is an RNA transcript of Diprion similis, 1129 nucleotides long. It is a transcript of the gene named retinal homeobox protein Rx1-like, with no coding region annotated. Lineage: Eukaryota; Metazoa; Arthropoda; Insecta; Hymenoptera; Diprionidae. The record is from RefSeq and is a predicted model, not a curated record. The transcript has 6 exons.
CAUGAUGAUUUGACGCUGAUACCAGUAACGAGUGAGCGUUGAUGUGACGGGUCGAGAAGAGAGAUAAAAAAGUGUGCAUGCUGGACGAUCAGCUCUAGACUGUCAGGAGGCCUGAAUUCGACAUCAUGGAUUCUCAUCAGCUUGUUGAGACCGCGUCUCAGAACAGCCAGGACAUAACCAUUCAGCAAAAACCAGCCAGCAGCACCCCGAGACACAGCAUCGACGCCAUCCUCGGACUUGCUGGACGGAAAAGGACCGCGCAGGAUAUGGAGGAGGGAUCGAGGGAGCAGGAAAAUAACGGAGAGAACAGUUGCAAUUCGACGGGCGGUGGAAGCGACGAGGAAUUGGGGACCGGAUGCGGAUCUGACGACCUAACUGGAAGUAGUGGCAAGAAAAAGCAUCGGCGCAACAGGACGACCUUCACAACCUUCCAGCUACACGAACUCGAAAGAGCUUUUGAGAAGUCUCACUACCCGGACGUCUACUCGAGAGAGGACCUGGCGAUGAAGGUCAAUCUGCCGGAGGUCCGGGUUCAGGUCUGGUUUCAAAACCGUCGAGCAAAAUGGCGACGGCAGGAGAAAAUGGAAGCCGCUAGACUCGGCCUCACUGAAUAUCAUCACGCUGCUGCCACCAUGAGAAACGUCGGCGGUUCGGGACUCGGACUUCCGGGCGAUCCGUGGCUGCCACAUUCCCCGUCAAUUUUGCCUGCGCUCCCCGGCUUCCUGGCUGCACCUCACGCCGGCUAUUCCAGCUAUUUGACAUCCCCUAGGCGCCUUCCGUCGCCCCCGGAAGCGGGCAUCAUACUCAAUACAUUCCGAGGUCUAUCCUCGAUGAGUGAGCUUAGCUUACGCGCCUGUCAGUACAACUCCUUGUUGGCCGCCGAGUUACAGGACAGCGGCGGACGUUAAAGGGAGGCCUGGGAGCCACGUGAGAGAUCGACCUAGAUGACGAGACCAACACAGAAUGUCAACAAUUAAACAAUUAGAAAAAAUCCCGGACGAACAAUCCGACACAUGAGACCGCCGAACGGUGGCCUCUCGUUACUGGGAGGCGGUGGAGGCAGCGAUGGCGGGUCUUCGUCGUUGGUCGGUGGAGGUGGAAACGGAAGAGGAAGCGGCGAGCAAUCGGG